AACGAACGCUGGCGGCAUGCCUAACACAUGCAAGUCGAACGAGACCUUCGGGUCUAGUGGCGCACGGGUGCGUAACGCGUGGGAACCUGCCUUUAGGUUCGGAAUAACUCAGAGAAAUUUGAGCUAAUACCGGAUGAUGUCUUCGGACCAAAGAUUUAUCGCCUUUAGAUGGGCCCGCGUUGGAUUAGCUAGUUGGUGGGGUAAAGGCCUACCAAGGCGACGAUCCAUAGCUGGUCUGAGAGGAUGAUCAGCCACACUGGGACUGAGAAACGGCCCAGACUCCUGGGGAAGGGGGCGGUGGGUAAUAUUGACCAAUGGGGGAGGGCCUGAUCCCCCACGGCCGGGAGAGUGAUGAGGUUGUUAGGGUAAAAAAGCUUUUUAACCCGAGGUUAUAAUGACAGUACGGGAAGAAUAAGCUCCGGCUAACUCCGUG
RNAcentral lists this ribosomal RNA (433 nucleotides) under uncultured bacterium. RNAcentral's name for it is "partial 16S ribosomal RNA". It matches the Rfam family "Bacterial small subunit ribosomal RNA", at positions 29 to 507 of the family's 1533-position model. The record is from RNAcentral.